Molecule: non-coding RNA, 2329 nt
Organism: Camelina sativa (false flax)
Lineage: Eukaryota; Viridiplantae; Streptophyta; Magnoliopsida; Brassicales; Brassicaceae
Source: RefSeq, a predicted model, not a curated record
AUCGAUUUUGGUUUUAUUUUGUUUAUGGGAAAUAUAUAAAUAAACAACAGAGCAUAGGGAAAGAGAGAGAUGAAGCAAAUGAAGUUGAUAUCCCAAAAAGUAGUUCUAUCACUACCCGUUAGUAUUAUUUUAUUUUAAUAUUUUGUUUAGGAUUUUGUAAAACUGAAAUAAUAAUAUUUCUUUAGGUCAUCCCUAAUGGAGUUUUUAGAAGAGUUUUAGCUGAUGUGGAACAAAAAAAAAUAAUCAGUUAAAACAAAAAUAAAUAAGAUGCUCUCUUAUUUAGUAUACUCAGUUAUGGUUUAAGAGACCAUACAUGUCGCUUAUUCGUUGCUUGAAUAAUUAAUAGAAGUAGAUUUUUUUUUCUGCGGAUCAAAAUUUUUUCUUUUCAUCUCUCUGUCUCGCUUUCUCUCUCGAUCAAAAAGCACAACGGAAGGUUUUUCUCUCGAUCGAAAAGCACAAGGAAAGGAGAUUAAUUGAAAACUAUGCAAUCAAAGGAGAUUGGGUCGGCUGGGGUUCUGAUGCAAAGCUUGUGAUAUCUGCGGAUGGACAAUCGGAGGAUAGACGAAUCGACUCCGAGAUUGAAUCGUUUGAGAUUUGAUUUUGGGGUCGAUUGAUUUUGUUGAGAUUGAAGGGAAUCAGAGGGUGAUGGGGAAACUUGGAUCAGGUUCACAAAUAAGACCGAGUGGGAUGGCUCAGCACCAACAGAGACCAACUCAAUCGUCUCUAAGGCCAGCUUCCUCUCCAAGUACCCAGUCUUUACCCAAGAUAAAGGCCAACUAUGGUGCUUGUGAGCACACAACAAUAAUGACAAAGAGACACCACCCGUGAGCUUCAAGGUCAAGGACAAAGAGACACCACCCGUGAGCUUCAAGGACAAAGAGACACCUCCAUUAGCUUCAAAAGAGACAGUUUCCCGUGAGCAAACAGCAAUAAUGCAACAAUUAUUUUGUUUUUUUGUAACAAGUACACGUUUGUUUCCCGUGAGCAAACCUUCAAGGUCAAGUGUUUUUUUGUAACAAGUACAGUUUGUUUUUCUCUCUUGUAAACAGCAAUAAUGCAACACAUCAAUUCACAAAGUCUAUAAAAGGAGUGUUUACGAGUUAAAGAUACACUCACCAAUUCACAACCUCUCCAAACACUCAUAUACUCUCUAUCUUAUCAAACUCUAUCUUUUCUUUCACUUUCAUUCUAAAUUUGGCAUCUUCUUAUCACAAUAAUUUUGAUGACACCAUUGAUGAUUGCUUAAAUCAAGUUUGUGAUCAAAUUUCCAAUCAAGUUUGGCAAUCUCUCCUUACUCCACCUAUUCAACAACAACAACCACCCAAACCAAAGAAAACAAGAACUUUCAUUGAAAAAAACCCGUAAAGUCGGACACACUCACUUGUGGAACGAUUACUUUAUUGAAAAUGCGAUCUACUCUCCUCGUAUUUUCCGGCGCCGUUUUAGAUGAACAAGCCCUUGUUUAUCCAAAUCGUUGAGCGACUCGGGAAUGAAGAACAAUUCUUUCAACAACGUAGAGAUGCUACAAAAAGGCUUGGGCUUUCAGCGCUACAAAAGUGUACUGCAGCAAUUCGUAUGAUGGCAUAUGGUUCGGCUGAUGAUGCGUUUGACGAAUAUCUUCGAAUUUCUGAAACCACAGCGUAUUCAUGCUUGAAUCAUUUUGUUAAAGCAAUCAUAAAUUGUUUCGUAGAUGAGUACUUACGAAGACCGACACCAGAAGAUCUUCAACGACUACUCGAUAUCGGAGAGCUACGCGGAUUUCCUGGGAUGAUAGGAAGCAUCGAUUGUAUGCAUUGGGAGUGGAAGAAUUGUCCAACUGCAUGGAAAGGUCAAUAUACACGUGGUUCUGGCAAGCCAACCAUCGUUUUAGAGGUUGUAGCUUCACAAGAUCUCUGGAUCUGGCAUGCUUUUUUCGGACCUCCAGGUACAUUGAACGAUAUAAAUAUUCUUGACCGCUCUCCCGUGUUUGAUGAUAUUUUAAACGGUCGAGCUCCGAAAGUUAAAUACAGUGUCAACGGACACCAAUACAAGUUGGCUUACUAUCUCACGGAUGGUAUUUAUCCAAAAUGGUUUACUUUUAUCUGAUCUAUUCCACUGCCACAAACUCCAAAAGACUCCUUAUUUGCUUCACAUCAAGAAGCUGUACGUAAAGAUGUCGAGCGUGCUUUUGGAGUUUUGCAGGCUCGAUUUGCCAUAGUCAAAAACCCGGCUCUUCUUUGGGAUAAGGUAAAAAUGGAAAUAUAAUGAGAGCAUGUAUCAUGCUGCACAAUAUGAUAAUAGAAGAUGAACGAGAUGAGUACACUCAGUUUAAUGAAUCUGAAUUCACACA